ACAUGCAAGUCGAGGGGCAGCAUGUCCAGCAAUGGAUGAUGGCGACCGGCGGAAGGGUGCGUAACGCGUGAGCAACAUGCCCUAUACAGGGAGAUACACCAGGGAAACUUGGUCUAAUAUCCCAUAGCAUUCAUUGAAGGCAUCUUUAACGAAUUAAAGCUUCGGUGGUAUAGGAUUGGCUCGCGUGACAUUAGCCGGAUGGUGAGGUAACGGCUCACCAUAGCAAUGAUGUCUAGGGGUUUUGAGAGGAAGGCCCCCCACACUGGGACUGAGACACGGCCCAGACUCCUACGGGAGGCAGCAGUGAGGAAUAUUGGACAAUGGAUGGAAAUCUGAUCCAGCCAUGCCGCGUGCAGGAAGACGGCCUUAUGGGUUGUAAACUGCUUUUAUACGGGAGCAAUAAGGGUUACGAGUAAUCCGAUGAGAGUACUGUAUGAAUAAGGAUCGGCUAACUCCGUGCCAGCAGCCGCGGUAAUACGGAGGAUCCGAGCGUUAUCCGGAAUUAUUGGGUUUAAAGGGUGCGUAGGCGGCCAUUUAAGUCAGCGGUGAAAUUUUGCAGCUUAACUGUAACAGUGCCGUUGAUACUGUUUGGCUAGGAUUUGGUUGUAGUGUGCGGAAUGUGUGGUGUAGCGGUGAAAUGCGUAGAUAUCACACAGAACACCGAUUGCGAAGGCGGCACACUAAGUCAUUAUUGACGCUGAGGCACGAAAGUGUGGGGAUCAAACAGGAUUAGAUACCCUGGUAGUCCACACUGUAAACGAUGAUAACUCGCUGUCGGCGAUACACAGUCGGUGGCCAAGCGAAAGC
Molecule: ribosomal RNA, 807 nt
Filed under: uncultured bacterium
Lineage: Bacteria
Description: bacterial SSU rRNA
Rfam family: Bacterial small subunit ribosomal RNA
Source: RNAcentral